Molecule: ribosomal RNA, 497 nt
Filed under: uncultured bacterium
Lineage: Bacteria
Description: partial 16S ribosomal RNA
Rfam family: Bacterial small subunit ribosomal RNA
Source: RNAcentral
GAUGAACGCUGGCGGCGUGCCUAAUACAUGCAAGUCGAGCGAACAGACGAGGAGCUUGCUCCUCUGACGUUAGCGGCGGACGGGUGAGUAACACGUGGAUAACCUACCUAUAAGACUGGGAUAACUUCGGGAAACCGGAGCUAAUACCGGAUAAUAUAUUGAACCGCAUGGUUCAAUAGUGAAAGGCGGUUUUGCUGUCACUUAUAGAUGGAUCCGCGCCGCAUUAGCUAGUUGGUAAGGUAACGGCUUACCAAGGCAACGAUGCGUAGCCGACCUGAGAGGGUGAUCGGCCACACUGGAACUGAGACACGGUCCAGACUCCUACGGGAGGCAGCAGUAGGGAAUCUUCCGCAAUGGGCGAAAGCCUGACGGAGCAACGCCGCGUGAGUGAUGAAGGUCUUCGGAUCGUAAAACUCUGUUAUUAGGGAAGAACAAAUGUGUAAGUAACUAUGCACGUCUUGACGGCACCUAAUCAGAAAGCCACGGCUAACUACGUG